AGAGUUUGGUCCUGGCUCAGAGCGAACGUUAGCGGCGGGCCUAACACAUGCAAGUCGAACGAGAAUGUAGGCUUUGGUCUACUAGUAAAGUGGCGGACGGGUGCGUAACACGUGGGUAAUCUACCUUCCGGCGGGGGACAACAGUCCGAAAGGAUUGCUAAUACCGCGUACGUCAGCGGCGCCUAUGGGCGCUGUUGGGAAAGAUGGCCUCUUUUUGGAAGCUGUCACCGGAAGAUGAGCCCGCGUCCCAUCAGCUAGUUGGUGAGGUAAUGGCUCACCAAGGCUAAGAUGGGUAGCUGGUCUGAGAGGAUGAUCAGCCAUAUUGGGAUUGCGACAUGGCCCAGACUCCUACGGGAGGCAGCAGUGGGGAAUAUUGGGUAAUGGGCGAAAGCCUGACCCAGCCACGCCGCGUGAGUGAUGAAGGCCUUUGGGUCGUAAAGCUCUGUGGGGAGGGACGAACAAAUCUGGGGUUAAUUACCCGGGUCCUGACGGUACCUCCUUAGCAAGCACCGGUUAACCCUGUGCCAGUAGUUGCGGUAAUACAGGGGGUGCAAACGUUGCUCGGAAUCAUUGGGCGUAAAGCGCACGUAGGCGGUCUGUUAUGUCGGAUGUGAAAGCCCUUGGUUUAACUAAGGAAGUGCAUCCGAAACUGGCAGGCUAGAGUACUAAAGAGGGUCGCGGAAUUCCCGGUGUAGAGGUGAAAUUUGUAGAUAUUGGGAGGAACACCGGUGGUGAAGGCGGCGACCUGGGUAGAUACUGACGCUGAGGUGCGAAAGCGUGGGGAGUAAACAGGAUUAGAUACCCUGGUAGUCCACGCCGUAAACGAUGAGUGCUAGAUGUUUCUGGUAUUGACCCCGGAGGCGUCGUAGCUAAUGCGUUAAGCACUCCGCCUGGGGAGUACGGCCGUAAGGCUAAAACUCAAAGGAAUUGACGG
Molecule: ribosomal RNA, 934 nt
Filed under: uncultured bacterium
Lineage: Bacteria
Description: bacterial SSU rRNA
Rfam family: Bacterial small subunit ribosomal RNA
Source: RNAcentral